GCUCAGGUGGCGGAAUGGCAGACGCGAUGGACUCAAAAUCCAUUGGCCGCAAGGUCAUGAGGGUUCGACUCCCUCCCUGAGCA
Molecule: transfer RNA, 83 nt
Filed under: Patescibacteria group bacterium
Lineage: Bacteria
Description: tRNA-Leu
Rfam family: tRNA
About the family: Transfer RNA (tRNA) molecules are approximately 80 nucleotides in length. Their secondary structure includes four short double-helical elements and three loops (D, anti-codon, and T loops). Further hydrogen bonds mediate the characteristic L-shaped molecular structure. tRNAs have two regions of fundamental functional importance: the anti-codon, which is responsible for specific mRNA codon recognition, and the 3' end, to which the tRNAs corresponding amino acid is attached (by aminoacyl-tRNA synthetases). tRNAs cope with the degeneracy of the genetic code in two manners: having more than one tRNA (with a specific anti-codon) for a particular amino acid; and 'wobble' base-pairing, i.e. permitting non-standard base-pairing at the 3rd anti-codon position.
Source: RNAcentral